GACGAACCGUGCGAACGUUAUUCGGAAUCACUGGGCUUAAAGGGCGCGUAGGUGGUUGAUCAAGUCUGGGGUGAAAUCUUUCGGCUUAACCGGAAAAGUGCCUUGGAUACUGAUCAGCUGGAGGGAGGUAGGGGCAGUUGGAACUUCCAGUGGAGCGGUGAAAUGCGUUGAUAUUGGAAGGAACGCCGGUGGCGAAAGCGAACUGCUGGACCUCUUCUGACACUGAGGCGCGAAAGCUAGGGGAGCAAACGGG
RNAcentral lists this ribosomal RNA (253 nucleotides) under uncultured bacterium. Its description in RNAcentral is "partial 16S ribosomal RNA". It matches the Rfam family "Bacterial small subunit ribosomal RNA", at positions 524 to 776 of the family's 1533-position model. The record is from RNAcentral.